AAGGGCACCACAAGAACGCGUGGAGCAUGUGGCUUAAUUUGANNCAACGCGGNAAAUCUUNCCGGGUCCGGACACACUGAGGAUUGACAGGCGUCUGUGGUUCAAGUUUCUAACUUGUUCCACUAUAAAUAUGCUAGUCCUUUCAUGAUUGUGUGAUAGGUGGUGCAUGGCCGUUCUUAGUUCGUGGAGUGAUCUGUCUGCUUAAUUGCGUUUCACAAAGGGCUUUCAAUCUCUCGCCUACUGCGCGGCACUCGUGCUCUCUGAGCCUUGUGUCUGUGCACGGUGGGAUAAAAGUCCUGAAGGCAACGAACGUGACCG
This 318-nucleotide ribosomal RNA is filed under the name Foraminifera environmental sample. RNAcentral describes it as "SSU rRNA". It matches the Rfam family "Eukaryotic small subunit ribosomal RNA", at positions 1160 to 1452 of the family's 1831-position model. The record is from RNAcentral. Lineage: Eukaryota; Foraminifera.